GAUGAACGCUGGCGGCGUGCCUAAUACAUGCAAGUCGAGCGAACGGACGAGAAGCUUGCUUCUCUGAUGUUAGCGGCGGACGGGUGAGUAACACGUGGAUAACCUACCUAUAAGACUGGGAUAACUUCGGGAAACCGGAGCUAAUACCGGAUAAUAUUUUGAACCGCAUGGUUCAAAAGUGAAAGACGGUCUUGCUGUCACUUAUAGAUGGAUCCGCGCUGCAUUAGCUAGUUGGUAAGGUAACGGCUUACCAAGGCAACGAUGCAUAGCCGACCUGAGAGGGUGAUCGGCCACACUGGAACUGAGACACGGUCCAGACUCCUACGGGAGGCAGCAGUAGGGAAUCUUCCGCAAUGGGCGAAAGCCUGACGGAGCAACGCCGCGUGAGUGAUGAAGGUCUUCGGAUCGUAAAACUCUGUUAUUAGGGAAGAACAUAUGUGUAAGUAACUGUGCACAUCUUGACGGUACCUAAUCAGAAAGCCACGGCUAACUAAGUG
RNAcentral lists this ribosomal RNA (497 nucleotides) under uncultured bacterium. Its description in RNAcentral is "partial 16S ribosomal RNA". It matches the Rfam family "Bacterial small subunit ribosomal RNA", at positions 28 to 507 of the family's 1533-position model. The record is from RNAcentral.